GAUGAAGAACGCAGCGAAAUGCGAUACUUGGUGUGAAUUGCAGAAUCCCGUGAACCAUCGAGUCUUUGAACGCAAGUUGCGCCCGAAGCCAUUAGGCCGAGGGCACGCCUGCCUGGGCGUCACACGUCGUUGCCCCCCCAUCUACUCCUUCGGGAUUGCGGGGGGCGGAUGAUGGCCUCCCGUGCGCCUCGCCGCGCGGUUGGCAUAAAUGCCAAGUCCUCCGCGACGCACGCCACGACAAUCGGUGGUUGCGAAACCUCGGUUGCCCGUCGUGUGCGGUCGUCGCGCAUCGAGGGCUCGAAAAAAUUGCCGGGUUCCGGCUCGGCUUUCAACGCGACCCCAGGUCAGGCGGGGUUACCCGCUGAAUUUAAGCAUAUCAAUAAGCGGAGGA
RNAcentral lists this unclassified non-coding RNA (391 nucleotides) under soil metagenome. Its description in RNAcentral is "partial contains 5.8S ribosomal RNA, internal transcribed spacer 2, and large subunit ribosomal RNA". The stretch from base 1 to 122 matches the Rfam family "5.8S ribosomal RNA", at positions 35 to 154 of the family's 154-position model. The record is from RNAcentral.